GGCCUAUUAGCUUAGUUGGUUAGAGCAUCGUGCUAAUAACACGAAGAUCGGAGGUUUGAGACUUGCAUGGGCUA
Molecule: transfer RNA, 74 nt
Filed under: Zingiber officinale
Lineage: Eukaryota; Viridiplantae; Streptophyta; Magnoliopsida; Zingiberales; Zingiberaceae
Rfam family: tRNA
About the family: Transfer RNA (tRNA) molecules are approximately 80 nucleotides in length.
Source: Rfam by way of RNAcentral